UUGGAGAAUGUGUUUCCAGCUCACCUAAGU
RNAcentral lists this non-coding RNA (30 nucleotides) under Mus musculus (house mouse). The record is from RNAcentral. Lineage: Eukaryota; Metazoa; Chordata; Mammalia; Rodentia; Muridae.